AAAACAACAGCUUUGUCAUGCAGCUCUUAAGUUGUGACUGGCCAAACUUGGAUAUUUCAGAUAUUUGAGAAAACAUCUUGAUUGUCCUCCAACCAGCGCGCCAGUUUUUUGCCCAGUUUUUUGGAAAGCCGACGCGUGGGCGACCGCAAGACUGUACGCAAAUCAAGAGGUGGGGGGUCCGUACAGUAGUGUAGCCUGGGGUCCGUUAAUAAGCGGCAUGCAAGUUAUCUUGUCUGGAGAAGCAAGGGGGGAUUAGUAUCAUGUUAAUGAUAAUGAGAGGUAAAAACAAUGAGCACAUUUCAUGGUGGGAUAAUGGAGCGAGAAUAUCGCACAUGAUCCAAACACUUGACUCCACUCAUUAUUCACAAUAAAGGCUUCGUAUAAAGUUUUAUAGCCGCUGCAAGAUAGUUUCAUUGCAAGUCGCUAAAUAAUUCAACAGCGGCGCUGAAGAAAACAGGGUAAAUGAGCAGUUUUUGGCUUGUUCUUAAAUCAUUUGUCUGAUAUCUAUACUACUGGGAUUUUUUUACGAUGAUAUAAUCCAAAACUAAUAAAAAAAAAAUUGCAUGCACUAACAACUCUAAUCUGCAUUAAUUUCUCUUAAAUUCUCAUUCACUACUACCCUGAAACAGAUGAUACAAAUCAAACGUUGUCAUUGUAGCAGACAUACAACAGUAAUGCAUCCAGAACAGUGCAGUGGGGGCUGGCUAUGCAAUAGCACAAAAGGCACAUGUUAUAAAUGACAAUAAAUGAAAAUGUGAUAACUCUGUCGGAUUUGUAAUCGCUUGUAGAGGCAGCACUUAACAUACUGUACAGUGUGUAUGUGGCACAUGGACGUAAGGCCCAGCAGAGGAUGUAAUUCCUGCGGCUUCUGAGAAAGCACGGCCUGCCCCCGGAGCUGCUGAGACAGUUCUCCACAGCGGUCAUCGAAUCAGUCCUGUGUUCUUCCAUCACAGUCUGGUUCGGUGCUGCUACAAAAAAGGACAAACUCCGACUGCAACGGACAAUCAAAACUGCUGAAAGGAUUGUCGGAACCCCCUACCCACCCUUGAGGACAAGGGCGUGCAAAAUCCUCUCGGACCCUCCCCACCCCGGUCACCAGCUCUUCCAGCUCCUUCCCUCAGUGCUCCUUCCGUGUUCUCCGCCUUGCUGACCUCUUCCUCCACACCGCCAAGCCAUCCACCUGUUCACACCACCGCCUGCCACGCGCUCCCUGUCUCAUCGACCUGCCAGUAUGCCUCAAGGAUCCACCUCUGACUCCCUUCACAAUAAACCA
Long non-coding RNA from Phyllopteryx taeniolatus (common seadragon), 1273 nucleotides. RefSeq lists it as uncharacterized. The transcript has 3 exons. The record is from RefSeq and is a predicted model, not a curated record. NCBI's taxonomy places the organism in Eukaryota, Metazoa, Chordata, Actinopteri, Syngnathiformes, Syngnathidae.